This 234-nucleotide ribosomal RNA is filed under the name uncultured Lactobacillus sp. RNAcentral's name for it is "partial 16S ribosomal RNA". It matches the Rfam family "Bacterial small subunit ribosomal RNA", at positions 128 to 355 of the family's 1533-position model. The record is from RNAcentral. Lineage: Bacteria; Bacillati; Bacillota; Bacilli; Lactobacillales; Lactobacillaceae.
GCCCAAGAGAUCGGGAUAACACCUGGAAACAGAUGCUAAUACCGGAUAACAACAGAUGAUGCCUAUCAACUGUUUAAAAGAUGGUUCUGCUAUCACUCUUGGAUGGACCUGCGGUGCAUUAGCUAGUUGGUAGGGUAACGGCCUGCCAAGGCGAUGAUGCAUAGCCGAGUUGAGAGACUGAUCGGCCACAUUGGGACUGAGACACGGCCCAAACUCCUACGGGAGGCAGCAGCA